RNAcentral lists this ribosomal RNA (858 nucleotides) under uncultured fungus. Its description in RNAcentral is "SSU rRNA". It matches the Rfam family "Eukaryotic small subunit ribosomal RNA", at positions 612 to 1507 of the family's 1831-position model. The record is from RNAcentral. Lineage: Eukaryota; Fungi.
GUUGUGGUUAAAGCUCGUAGUUGAACCUUGGGCCUGGCUGGCCGGUCCGCCUCACCGCGUGCACUGGUCCGGCCGGGCCUUUCCCUCUGUGGAACCCCAUACCCUUCACUGGGCGUGGCGGGGAAACAGGACAUUUACUUUGGAAAAAUUAGAGUGCUCCAGGCAGGCCUAUGCUCGAAUACAUUAGCAUGGAAUAAUAAAAUAGGACGCGCGGUUCUAUUUUGUUGGUUUAUAGGACCGCCGUAAUGAUUAAUAGGGACAGUCGGGGGCAUCAGUAUUCAACUGUCAGAGGUGAAAUUCUUGGAUCAGUUGAAGACUAACUACUGCGAAAGCAUUUGCCAAGGAUGUUUUCAUUAAUCAGGAACGAAAGUUAGGGGAUCGAAGACGAUCAGAUACCGUCGUAGUCUUAACCAUAAACUAUGCCGACUAGGGAUCGGACGGUGUUAUUCAUGACCCGUUCGGCACCUUACGAGAAAUCAAAGUGCUUGGGCUCCAGGGGGAGUAUGGUCGCAAGGCUGAAACUUAAAGAAAUUGACGGAAGGGCACCACCAGGGGUGGAGCCUGCGGCUUAAUUUGACUCAACACGGGGAAACUCACCAGGUCCAGACACAAUAAGGAUUGACAGAUUGAGAGCUCUUUCUUGAUUUUGUGGGUGGUGGUGCAUGGCCGUUCUUAGUUGGUGGGGUGACUUGUCUGCUUAAUUGCGAUAACGAACGAGACCUUAACCUGCUAAAUAGCCCGCAUUGCUCCGGCAGUGCGCUGGCUUCUUAGAGGGACUUUCGGCUCAAGCCGAAGAAGUUUGAGCAUAACAGUCUGUGAUGCCCUUUAGAUGUCUGGGCGCACGCGCGCUACACUGAC